GAUCUGGGUCACAGGACCGUAUUGGCAGUGCCAGGGAAACUCUGCUGCUCUUGCUGAAAAGCCUGCCCAUGGGCUGCUACUUCAACAUCAUCGGCUUUGGGUCCAGUUAUGAGUCCUUCUUUCCUAAGUGUGUGGAGUACAGCCAGAAGACUAUGGAUGAGGCUCUGCAGAAUGUGAAGGGAAUGAGGGCUGACCUGGGAGGUACAGAGAUCCUCCAGCCUUUAAAACAUAUCUACAGUCAGCCCUGCCUCCCUGACAGGUAGCUAACACAGUUUACUCAUACACCUUAUACAUACCUCAUACACAAACACACACACACACACACACACACACACACACACUGUAAUUCACAUGGGCUCCUC
Molecule: long non-coding RNA, 362 nt
Organism: Oncorhynchus tshawytscha (Chinook salmon)
Lineage: Eukaryota; Metazoa; Chordata; Actinopteri; Salmoniformes; Salmonidae
Exons: 3
Source: RefSeq, a predicted model, not a curated record